Gallus gallus (chicken) is the source of this 1031-nucleotide long non-coding RNA. RefSeq lists it as uncharacterized. Lineage: Eukaryota; Metazoa; Chordata; Aves; Galliformes; Phasianidae. The transcript is spliced from 4 exons. The record is from RefSeq and is a predicted model, not a curated record.
AGCCGCCGCCGGGCCGUGCCCGCCGAGCUCCGGGGCAGCGCCGCGCUGCCCGUCCUUCAGCCGCCUCCAUUCGUGCCUCGACGGACGCGGGAGGAGACGGGCGAGGGGGGACGCGCGGAGCCACGGGGCAGCCGGAGGACGGGGCCAGCGCCCGCGGCGGCGGUACCUGAUGAUGUCGUCCUGGUGCCCCAGGUAGAAUUUCUGCCGGUGCUCCCGGGGGCUGUAGACCACGCCGACCCCAGCCACGAAGUAGACGAUCUCCUUGGCGGCCGUGUAGUAGAGGUUGUUGCGGCACUGGUGACCCCGGUAACCGUAGACCCACUCCAGCCGCAGGUGGCAGCUCGGCGCGCUCCGGUCAGCCAUGUCCUCCCGCCCCCGCCACGCAGCUGGAUUUUGGCUUUUCACUGCUGUCCCGAACGAACGAGCACCUCGCUUUCCCUGCCAACCCACCGCCCCCCAGCUCUCACCAGUCUCCUCACGUCGUCACUGCUUGCCCAGCAUGCUGCCUGAAGCUCAUCCAAGAAGAAAAGGUCAACUGUAAUUUUUAAUGACUAGUAAUUAACCCCACUGCCUGUGUCACACACCACGCAACAGUUACUCCCUCAUCCAUGCCUUAAUUUCUUCAUCUAUUCAAGAAGAGCACUCCAUUUCUCACCCACAGAUCUCAAAGCCACCAGAAAGCUAUACGGUCUCGGCGUGACCUGUCCCUUAGAAGCCCGUGACCGCUGGCCGCGUGUCACCUCUUGGCAGUGUGUCACCUCCAGUCACGCGCAGCGCGCUCGGGGCCCGGAGCGGAGCUGUCUGUGGUGCUGAGCUCGAUGUGUGGGUUCCUACGCGGCCUGGUCGUACAGAAGGAACACAGUUGUUCAGAGGCGAUAGGCUGGGAUAUGAGCAAGCUUUUAGCACUGGAACAGACUGGCUACAGAUUGCAAUAGGCUGUGGAUUCUCCAUCCUCAGAGAUCAUCUUAUCUCAUCUGGACGAGGCCCUGAGCGAUGUCACCCAACAUUGAAGUUGACCCUGUUUAGAGCAG